RNAcentral lists this ribosomal RNA (313 nucleotides) under uncultured eukaryote. RNAcentral's name for it is "partial large subunit ribosomal RNA". It matches the Rfam family "Eukaryotic large subunit ribosomal RNA", at positions 40 to 350 of the family's 3401-position model. The record is from RNAcentral.
AUAUUAUUACCGGAAGGAAAAGAAACUAACUAGGAUUCCUUAGUAGCGGCGAGCGAGGCGGGAAGAGCUCAGGUUUUAAAUCUGGUAGCGACAGCUAUUCAGAAUUGUAGUCUUGUGAGUAUACAUCGGGAAAGCCACCAGCAUAAGUCCUUUGGAACGAGGCGCCAUAGAGGGUGAGAGCCCCGUGCAUGGUUGGAUGGCCGUACCAACGUUGUGUGCUCUUAGAGUCGGGUUGUUUGGGAAUGCAGCCUUAAGCGGGUGGUAAAUUCCAUCUAAAGCUAAAUAUUACAGCGAGACCGAUAGCGCACAAGUA